Acinonyx jubatus (cheetah) is the source of this 2240-nucleotide long non-coding RNA. RefSeq lists it as uncharacterized. The transcript is spliced from 6 exons. NCBI's taxonomy places the organism in Eukaryota, Metazoa, Chordata, Mammalia, Carnivora, Felidae. The record is from RefSeq and is a predicted model, not a curated record.
UGUGCACUCAGAGUACUCGGCCAGCCCCCUCCCACAAGUCGCCUGUUUGAUAACGAGCGGAAAAACGCUGAAUGCACAGAAAAUCAACAACUUUUCUGGAACCUGUUAAAGAAUUGAACUCAUGGGACAAAUGGCCACUUCAAAACCUGGGGACCAGUGACUACUGAGAAAGACAACUGACAUCAGCUUAGCUGGGGCAGAAACCGUAGAAACACUUACAUGGUGAACCCAGAAGAAGCCAGAGGGCCGGGGAGCAGCCCACAUAGGACACAGAGCCAGGCCAGGGAAAAAGAGGGCAACGCCUCGUGCUGGAGAGACUUUGGGGGAAAGCGCAUCGCUUCAGCUCACAGUGCAUUCAUAUCUUUGAACACAAGAUGUAUGAGGGGCAGUAGCUAUUUCUCACCACUCCCUGGAUUUUGAGGAUAAACAAGAUAAGGGGGACAUUUCUUAGAUAUUAGUGGUCAAAUGGAUAAGGCCUUUGCCUGAGGACUUCAUCAUAAAAAUCCAUUUCUUGAUGAAAGGCACUUACAAAGACCAGCCUCCUGAAAUACCACAUGACAAAUUCACAGAACUCUUUGGUUUUGCGAUUCCUUGCAUCUACUCAUCCAUGGGGAAGAAACGUGCACAUUCAAAAGCAGCUCCUGGCCACCGUGCUCCAUGCUCCAAACCCUGUGUGUGGCUUUUGUGGCAGUGCCACGUCAUGGGCCGUCAGGGACACAGUUAUUCUUCCUCACGAGGGAGUGCUGAGGACCACUGACCGCUGUGAACCCUUUUCCCAGCCAGCAGGCUUCGUUUUCCCUUUAUGUGAUUUUCUGUCAUGAUAAAGACAGAGUUUUCACCUUGUUGCAGAACAAUUAGCACCAUGACUUUGUUUCACAAAUUACAGAACUAAUAGAAAUUUGAGCAGGUUUUUUUUUUUUUUCCAUCUCUGCCUUGUUUCAUGCUGCUUUACCUAUCAUCCCUGGGGCCUCAAGGAGCCAUAUUAUGAUCAUAUAGAUCCUGGAGCCCGUCGGACUUUGUCUUCUAGCUCAAGUGUUGCUGAAGACUCCAGUGCAGGGAAGGGAGAUGGGUGCAGGUGUAAUCAGAGAGACAGGCUGUUUCUGUAAUUUGUGAGAACUGUCAGAUAUAUAAUUAUAAAUAUAAGGUGCAAGAAGAUGAGAUUAAGAUGCUAUUUGGGGAAAAAGAAAAUCCAGUUAAGGUAUCCCCAGUUUCCAAAGGGAAUAUAUAUUGCCAGAGUAAAAUAAUGGGCAAGAAGGCAGUUUUCAUUAUGCUGUGGCCUUGGCCCCAAACACAAUGCAGAACUCCAUUGCACAGAGACAUAACCUGCCUGCACCAAGGGCAGGCUUAGGAUCUCUUACCAGUGCAGUUUUGAGGGGAGGGAAUCACUGGGAUUCCCUCCCUUGAGUCUCAGAUCUCCCUGCUUGAAUGGCAAGGGUCUGAGGCAACUCUAGCACCAGCUGCAGCCGCUGUGAGGCUCACUCUUCCCACUGUCUCAGUACAGCGAAAUGGUUCUAAAAAGAGAGAAGGCAGCCAAAUGAAACAGAGACGCCUGGGUUUUUGGCGUGUCUCUGCCUUGCCUCUCAGGAUUAUGGAAAAACAGCGUCAGAAGGCAGAAUGGAUAUUUAUGCAUACAAUCUCUAACUCUUUUGAAAGAUAGGCACCCAAGGGCAAUAGUCAGAUUCAUAGAAAAACUCCUCCCCCGUGAAGAUGAGCUGAGCACAGGGUCUGCAAAACAACGUACGUGUAGGUAAGCUCGUCACCAAUUUUACUCAUGUAACGUAGAGCAUUCCGUUUAUAAAUAAUAAUAAAAUAUACAAUACUUUGGUUAUGAAUUCUGUAUCAGCAAUUGAUUCUUCCAGAAACUUUCAUUGAUUUUUGCCAGACUCCUGUAUCCAUAGCCAAACUAUGAUUGUAACUGAUGAAUGAGUGUAGUUCCGACAUGAAUGUUGAUUCAUAUUUUCAUUCACAUUAACACGUAAGAUGGAAAUAAAACAGGGAUGUAUGUCAGAUCUUCACUCAUUUGUCAAUGAAGCGAAUGACUUUGCUAAAUACUAUCAGAAUGUAAUUUUUGAACACUAUAAGACUAAAUCAUCAAUUUUUGUCCUAUUCACAAUAUAACAGCUACAGACACAUUUUGACUCUAACCUGCAUUAUUAACUUCUUUUCCAUCACUUUGUUAGACGCAAACAAUAAACACAAUGAUAAAUCAAGCUUUGAGUUACUUCAUUUGAUGAUUUCCA